CUGAGCUGCUGCCUGCAGAGAGACGAGGAGCGGCGCUGGUCUGCCAACGAGCUCCUGCAGCAUCCAUUUGUAACAUCAGCCAAGCCAGCGUCCACCCUGGCACCACUCAUCAACUCAGUGAAGAAGAAGAAGGAGAAGACAAGAAUGUAACAAUCAAGAUGUUAUCUCCAUAACCAAGUUAGAGUAGGAUUGUGGAGUAGGACUCUAGAGUAGGAUUGUUGAGUAGUUUUCUAGUAUAGGUUUAUAGAGUAGGAUUUUAAUUCAAUAAAGUUUCUCAAACAUCAA
Molecule: non-coding RNA, 285 nt
Organism: Taeniopygia guttata (zebra finch)
Lineage: Eukaryota; Metazoa; Chordata; Aves; Passeriformes; Estrildidae
Source: RefSeq, a predicted model, not a curated record